AUGAACGCUAGCUACAGGCUUAACACAUGCAAGUCGAGGGGCAGCAUGGACGAUAGCUUGCUAUUGUCGAUGGCGACCGGCGCACGGGUGAGUAACGCGUAUCCAACCUGUCCACCACUUGGGGAUAACCUUGCGAAAGUAAGACUAAUACCCGAUGAUAUCUCUAGACGACAUCUGAAAGAGAUUAAAGAUUUAUCGGGUGAUGGAUGGGGAUGCGUCUGAUUAGCUUGUUGGCGGGGUAACGGCCCACCAAGGCAACGAUCAGUAGGGGUUCUGAGAGGAAGGUCCCCCACAUUGGAACUGAGACACGGUCCAAACUCCUACGGGAGGCAGCAGUGAGGAAUAUUGGUCAAUGGGCGAGAGCCUGAACCAGCCAAGUAGCGUGCAGGAUGACGGCCCUAUGGGUUGUAAACUGCUUUUAUAAGGGAAUAAAGUGGGUCUCGUGAGACUUUUUGCAUGUACCUUAUGAAUAAGGACCGGCUAAUUCCGUG
Molecule: ribosomal RNA, 491 nt
Filed under: uncultured bacterium
Lineage: Bacteria
Description: bacterial SSU rRNA
Rfam family: Bacterial small subunit ribosomal RNA
Source: RNAcentral